RNAcentral lists this transfer RNA (71 nucleotides) under Starmerella bacillaris. RNAcentral describes it as "tRNA-Gly". It matches the Rfam family "tRNA". From Rfam's summary of the family: Transfer RNA (tRNA) molecules are approximately 80 nucleotides in length. Their secondary structure includes four short double-helical elements and three loops (D, anti-codon, and T loops). Further hydrogen bonds mediate the characteristic L-shaped molecular structure. tRNAs have two regions of fundamental functional importance: the anti-codon, which is responsible for specific mRNA codon recognition, and the 3' end, to which the tRNAs corresponding amino acid is attached (by aminoacyl-tRNA synthetases). tRNAs cope with the degeneracy of the genetic code in two manners: having more than one tRNA (with a specific anti-codon) for a particular amino acid; and 'wobble' base-pairing, i.e. permitting non-standard base-pairing at the 3rd anti-codon position. The record is from RNAcentral. Lineage: Eukaryota; Fungi; Ascomycota; Dipodascomycetes; Dipodascales; Trichomonascaceae.
AUGAUUAUAGGUUAAGGGUAGACCAUCAAUUUUCCAAAUUGAGAGUCAGAGUUCAAAUCUCUGUAAUCAUA